AACGAACGCUGGCGGCAUGCCUAACACAUGCAAGUCGAACGAGAAGUCCGGGGCUUUUGGCGCACGGCGGCGUAACGCGUGGGAAGCUGCCCUUAGGUUCGGAAUACCUCCCCGAAAGGGGUGCUAAUGCCAGAUAGGGUCUUCUGACCGAAGAUUUAUUGCCUUUGGAUGUGCCCGAGUUGGAUUCGGUAGUUGGUAGGGUAAAAGCAUCCCAAGGCGACGAUCCAUAGCUGGGCUGAGAGGAUGAUCAGCCACACUGGGACUGAGAAACGGCCCAGACUCCUACGGAAGGCAGGAGUGGGGGAUAUUGGACCAUGGGGUAAAGCCUGAUCCAGCCAUGCCGCGUGAGCGAUGAUGGCCUUAGGGUUGUAAAGCUCUUUUACCCGGGAUGAUAAUGACGGUACCGGGAGAAUAAGCUCCGGCUAACUCCGUG
RNAcentral lists this ribosomal RNA (433 nucleotides) under uncultured bacterium. RNAcentral describes it as "partial 16S ribosomal RNA". It matches the Rfam family "Bacterial small subunit ribosomal RNA", at positions 29 to 507 of the family's 1533-position model. The record is from RNAcentral.